Molecule: long non-coding RNA, 210 nt
Filed under: Vigna radiata
Lineage: Eukaryota; Viridiplantae; Streptophyta; Magnoliopsida; Fabales; Fabaceae
Description: long non-coding RNA (VRAD_LNC011656)
Source: RNAcentral
CAGCCCAAUAUGCCUGAUGCUCAAUCUCAACUGGUAAAUGACAUGCCUUUCCAAAGACAACCCGAUAGGGAGACAUCCCAAUGGGUGCUUUGUAGGCAGUCCUGUGGGCCCAAAGAGCAUCGUCCAACCUAUUGCUCCAAUCCUUCCUGUUGGGCUGGACAAUCUUCUCCAAAAUCCUCUUAAUCUCCCUGUUGGAGAUCUCAGCCUGCC